This 468-nucleotide ribosomal RNA is filed under the name uncultured bacterium. RNAcentral describes it as "partial 16S ribosomal RNA". It matches the Rfam family "Bacterial small subunit ribosomal RNA", at positions 28 to 507 of the family's 1533-position model. The record is from RNAcentral.
GACGAACGCUGGCGGCGUGCUUAACACAUGCAAGUCGAACGGAAAGGCCCUGCUUUUGUGGGGUGCUCGAGUGGCGAACGGGUGAGUAACACGUGAGUAACCUGCCCUUGACUUUGGGAUAACUUCAGGAAACUGGGGCUAAUACCGGAUAGGAGCUCCUGCUGCAUGGUGGGGGUUGGAAAGUUUCGGCGGUUGGGGAUGGACUCGCGGCUUAUCAGCUUGUUGGUGGGGUAGUGGCUUACCAAGGCUUUGACGGGUAGCCGGCCUGAGAGGGUGACAGGCCACAUUGGGAUUGAGAUACGGCCCAGACUCCUACGGGAGGCAGCAGUGGGGAACAGUGCACAAAGGGCGGAAGCCUGAUGCAGCAACGCCGCGUGCGGGAUGACGGCCUUCGGGGUGUAAACCGCUUGCGACUGUGACGAAGCGUGAGUGACGGUAAUGGGUAAAGAAGCACCGGCUAACUACGUG